CAGUAGCCACGGUAAUACGUAGGUGGCAAGCGUUGUCCGGAAUUAUUGGGCGUAAAGCGCGCGCAGGUGGUUUAAUAAGUCUGAUGUGAAAGCCCCCGGCUCAACCGGGGAGGGUCAUUGGAAACUGGGAAACUUGAGUGCAGAAGAGGAGAGUGGAAUUCCACGUGUAGCGGUGAAAUGCGUAGAGAUGUGGAGGAACACCAGUGGCGAAGGCGACUCUCUGGUCUGUAACUGACGCUGAGGAGCGAAAGCGUGGGGAGCGAACAGGAUUAGAUACCCCUGUAGUCCCUGUCUCUUAUAC
This 301-nucleotide ribosomal RNA is filed under the name uncultured bacterium. RNAcentral describes it as "partial 16S ribosomal RNA". It matches the Rfam family "Bacterial small subunit ribosomal RNA", at positions 509 to 807 of the family's 1533-position model. The record is from RNAcentral.